GACGAACGCUGGCGGCGUGCUUAACACAUGCAAGUCGAACGGAGAGGCCCUGCUUUUGUGGGGUGCUCGAGUGGCGAACGGGUGAGUAACACGUGAGUAACCUGCCCUUGACUUUGGGAUAACUUCAGGAAACUGGGGCUAAUACCGGAUAGGAGCUCCUGCUGCAUGGUGGGGGUUGGAAAGUUUCGGCGGUUGGGGAUGGACUCGCGGCUUAUCAGCUUGUUGGUGGGGUAGUGGCUUACCAAGGCUUUGACGGGUAGCCGGCCUGGGAGGGUGACCGGCCACAUUGGGACUGAGAUACGGCCCAGACUCCUACGUGAGGCAGCAGUGGGGAAUAUUGCACAAUGGGCGGAAGCCUGAUGCAGCAACGCCGCGUGCGGGAUGACGGCCUUCGGGUUGUAAACCGCUUUCGCCUGUGACGAAGCGUGAGUGACGGUAAUGGGUAAAGAAGCAACGGCUAACUACGUG
RNAcentral lists this ribosomal RNA (468 nucleotides) under uncultured bacterium. RNAcentral describes it as "partial 16S ribosomal RNA". It matches the Rfam family "Bacterial small subunit ribosomal RNA", at positions 28 to 507 of the family's 1533-position model. The record is from RNAcentral.